Molecule: long non-coding RNA, 982 nt
Filed under: Homo sapiens (human)
Lineage: Eukaryota; Metazoa; Chordata; Mammalia; Primates; Hominidae
Description: non-protein coding lnc-INTS12-7:2
Source: RNAcentral
UCCUUCUACCUUUUCCCCUCUUGUCCAGUUAGUGAUGUACUUCUCACUUUUAUAAUGCUUUCUUUUACUCCCUCUUCUAUGACAUUACCAUUGCUUCUGUUUAUCUCUGUUAAAACCUCAUUGCAUUUUAAUUGCAGUUUAUCUAUUUGUCUCUUUCCCUGAGUUAAAAACUGAGUAUCUUGAUGAAAAGAACUUUGUUGUAUCCAUCCAUUUAUUCCCCAUACAUAGCACAUUGUCUGAAGAUGCUUUGUAAAUGUUUGUAGAGUGCAGGAAUAGUAUUAUACAUAUGAAAACACAAAAGUCUGAAGGUGAUAUACAUAUCAAUGAUGAUGCUGCUCUAGGUAUCACAAUCAAUUGUGCUUCUGGUUAGACUGGGCCCCAUGUUUCCUGGCUCCCUCAGUCCAAUGCUCUGCCACUAAAGGGAAUUAAUUUUGGUUCUUAACAAAACAUCUUUUUGUUUUUUUCUUUACAGAUAUUGAUGAUGUUAAGAAGUUCAAACCGGGUUACCUGGAAGCUACUCUUAAUUGGUUUAGAUUAUAUAAGGUACCAGAUGGAAAACCAGAAAACCAGUUUGCUUUUAAUGGAGAAUUCAAAAACAAGGCUUUUGCUCUUGAAGUUAUUAAAUCCACUCAUCAAUGUUGGAAAGCAUUGCUUAUGAAGAAGUGUAAUGGAGGAGCUAUAAAUUGCACAAACGUGCAGAUAUCUGAUAGCCCUUUCCGUUGCACUCAAGAGGAAGCAAGAUCAUUAGUUGAAUCGGUAUCAUCUUCACCAAAUAAAGAAAGUAAUGAAGAAGAGCAAGUGUGGCACUUCCUUGGCAAGUGAUUGAAACAUCUGAAAUUCUGCUGUCAAGAUUCCCAUCUCUAAGGACUCCAAGUGCUAGAGACAAGGGGGUCUAUGAGCAUUUACUGACUUCCUGUUAAAACUUCAUUUUUUCAAACUUUUUGAGCUAUGCAAUAUAUAAAUAAACAGUAAGAAUUUUAAA